AAAAAGGGUGCUCGUCUUCGGCACAUUCCAAUAUUUAGGAAUAUUGGUGCAGACGCAUUGUGCCGUUGGCCCAUUCAUACGCUUUUUGCGGGCGGGGGCGUGCGUCACAUUGCCGCCUUCGAUGGGUCCAAGCGCGCCCAGUGGGGUAUGGCUUUGCAUAUCCAGUGCAUAAUUUUUGUGUUUGGGGCUAGUGGCUGCACGUUUGCAACAGCCGGAUUGCAGAUUUAUCUGCGUGCCGGCAGUCCGUGCGCUGCGCCCCA
Molecule: small nuclear RNA, 260 nt
Organism: Drosophila hydei
Lineage: Eukaryota; Metazoa; Arthropoda; Insecta; Diptera; Drosophilidae
Product: U11 spliceosomal RNA
Exons: 1
Source: RefSeq, a predicted model, not a curated record